CGCGCUCGCUGUGAAGGGCCGGGGCCUGCGGGGCGGCUGUGCCGGGCGGGGGCGAUGGUUUUCAACAUGGAAGCCCAGCCUCAAUGGAAUCCUUUCUGGACUCAGGUCCUUAGGUUUUGGGGCACGGACCCUCCAGAGAUACCAGGGCCUGCACUUCACACUCAUUCCCUCCCAGGAAGGCACUGAAACUGGAGGGGCUGCUCAGAGUCUUUAUUGCUGCUCUGGCAUGUUGCUUGCUCCAAACCAUGGGGACAUUGGCAACUCCAGAGCCCGGCAGAGAGAAGGGGACAGGAAUGGGGACUGGAAUGAGCAGACGCCUUCUCCCCAAAAUCAAUAAAUAAAGCCCUAUCACUACAGCA
This is a long non-coding RNA of Zonotrichia leucophrys gambelii, 359 nucleotides long. RefSeq lists it as uncharacterized. The record is from RefSeq and is a predicted model, not a curated record. The transcript has 2 exons. Lineage: Eukaryota; Metazoa; Chordata; Aves; Passeriformes; Passerellidae.